This 510-nucleotide ribosomal RNA is filed under the name Xenentodon cancila (freshwater garfish). Its description in RNAcentral is "partial large subunit ribosomal RNA". It matches the Rfam family "Bacterial large subunit ribosomal RNA", at positions 1997 to 2667 of the family's 2925-position model. The record is from RNAcentral. Lineage: Eukaryota; Metazoa; Chordata; Actinopteri; Beloniformes; Belonidae.
UGGCAUAACGAGGGCUUAACUGUCUCCUUUUUCCAGUCAAUGAAAUUGAUCUCCCCGUGCAGAAGCGGGGAUAAUUACAUAAGACGAGAAGACCCUAUGGAGCUUUAGAUAAGAGAUGGACCAUGUUAAUAAAUCUAUUUAAUAAGAACAAACUUAUUGGUCACCAUUUUAAUAUCUUUGGUUGGGGCGACCGCGGGGUAAUAAUUAACCCCCAAGUGGAAAAAGAGAACCUCUCUCAUAACCUAGACUGACAAAUCCAAGUAUCAGAAAAUCUGACCAAAAAUGACCCGGCAAAGCCGAUCAACGAACCGAGUUACCCUAGGGAUAACAGCGCAAUCCUCUCCUAGAGCCCAUAUCGACAAGAGGGUUUACGACCUCGAUGUUGGAUCAGGACAUCCUAAUGGUGCAGCCGCUAUUAAGGGUUCGUUUGUUCAACGAUUAAAGUCCUACGUGAUCAGAGUUCAGAAAAAGGGGAGACCUGUUUAUCAAAAACAUAUACGUGAUCUGAGU